AACGAACGCUGGCGGCAUGCCUAACACAUGCAAGCCGAACGAGACCUUCGGGUCUAGUGGCGCACGGGUGCGUAACGCGUGGGAACCUGCCCUUAGGUUCGGAAUAACUCCCCGAAAGGGGUGCUAAUACCGGAUAAUGUCUUCGGACCAAAGAUUUAUCGCCUUUGGAUGGGCCCGCGUUGGAUUAGCUAGUUGGUAGGAUAAAAGCCUACCAAGGCGACGAUCCAUAGCUGGUCUGAGAGGAUGAUCAGCCACACUGGGACUGAGACACGGCCCAGACUCCUACGGGAGGCAGCAGUGGGGAAUAUUGGACAAUGGGCGAAAGCCUGAUCCAGCAAUGCCGCGUGAGUGAUGAAGGCCUUAGGGUUGUAAAGCUCUUUUACCCGGGAUGAUAAUGACAGUACCGGGAGAAUAAGCUCCGGCUAACUCCGUG
Molecule: ribosomal RNA, 433 nt
Filed under: uncultured bacterium
Lineage: Bacteria
Description: partial 16S ribosomal RNA
Rfam family: Bacterial small subunit ribosomal RNA
Source: RNAcentral